Molecule: non-coding RNA, 179 nt
Filed under: Candidatus Cloacimonadota bacterium
Lineage: Bacteria; Pseudomonadati; Candidatus Cloacimonadota
Description: 6S RNA
Rfam family: 6S / SsrS RNA
About the family: E. coli 6S RNA was the first non coding RNA to be sequenced, but its function was unknown until recently. It consists of 184 nucleotides that fold into an extended hairpin structure with a large single-stranded internal bulge. The 6S RNA specifically associates with RNA polymerase holoenzyme containing the sigma70 specificity factor.
Source: RNAcentral
AAAGGCCUAUCCUGUUUGUGAUAACAAUGUUGUUUUGUGCUAAACUUUGAACUAUAGGGUGUUCGAUUAGGUAUGGCGUGAAUGCCUUCAUUGCAGUUGGACUCAUAAAAUAUCUAUAAGGAUUCCCAUUAUUGUGAUACGGUUCAAACAAAUUGUUACACGGCAAGGACAGGUCUUUU